CGCGAAGAACCUUACCUGGUCUUGACAUCCACAGAAUAUUCCAGAGAUGGGAUGGUGCCUUCGGGAACUGUGAGACAGGUGCUGCAUGGCUGUCGUCAGCUCGUGUUGUGAAAUGUUGGGUUAAGUCCCGCAACGAGCGCAACCCUUAUCCUUUGUUGCCAGCGGUCCGGCCGGGAACUCAAAGGAGACUGCCAGUGAUAAACUGGAGGAAGGUGGGGAUGACGUCAAGUCAUCAUGGCCCUUACGACCAGGGCUACACACGUGCUACAAUGGCGCAUACAAAGAGAAGCGACCUCGCGAGAGCAAGCGGACCUCAUAAAGUGCGUCGUAGUCCGGAUUGGAGUCUGCAACUCGACUCCAUGAAGUCGGAAUCGCUAGUAAUCGUGGAUCAGAAUGCCACGGUGAAUACGUUCCCGGGUCUUGUACACACC
RNAcentral lists this ribosomal RNA (431 nucleotides) under uncultured bacterium. Its description in RNAcentral is "bacterial SSU rRNA". It matches the Rfam family "Bacterial small subunit ribosomal RNA", at positions 960 to 1391 of the family's 1533-position model. The record is from RNAcentral.